RNAcentral lists this transfer RNA (69 nucleotides) under Caryophyllaeus laticeps. RNAcentral describes it as "tRNA-Asn". It matches the Rfam family "tRNA". From Rfam's summary of the family: Transfer RNA (tRNA) molecules are approximately 80 nucleotides in length. Their secondary structure includes four short double-helical elements and three loops (D, anti-codon, and T loops). The record is from RNAcentral. Lineage: Eukaryota; Metazoa; Platyhelminthes; Cestoda; Caryophyllidea; Caryophyllaeidae.
GUUUAUGUAGAUUAAGUUGAAAUCCUGGUGCUGUUAACCCCAAGAUGGGGGUAAACAUCCCCUUAAACG